UAAAUUAUAGCUUAAUUAAAGUAUUUCAUUUACAUUGAAAAGAUAUUAAAUAUUAAUUAAUUUUA
Molecule: transfer RNA, 65 nt
Filed under: Japonica saepestriata
Lineage: Eukaryota; Metazoa; Arthropoda; Insecta; Lepidoptera; Lycaenidae
Description: tRNA-Val
Source: RNAcentral